UACGUAGGGGGCAAGCGUUGUUCGGAAUCAUUGGGCGUAAAGAGCGUGUAGGCGGCCCGUUAAGUCCGCCGUGAAAGCCCGGGGCUCAACUCCGGAACGGCACCCGAUACUGCGGGGCUUGAGACCGGGAGAGGGAUGCGGAAUUCCAGGUGUAGCGGUGAAAUGCGUAGAUAUCUGGAGGAACACCGGUGGCGAAGGCGGCAUCCUGGACCGGUAUUGACGCUGAGGCGCGAAAGCCAGGGGAGCAAACGGG
RNAcentral lists this ribosomal RNA (253 nucleotides) under uncultured bacterium. RNAcentral's name for it is "partial 16S ribosomal RNA". It matches the Rfam family "Bacterial small subunit ribosomal RNA", at positions 524 to 776 of the family's 1533-position model. The record is from RNAcentral.